AUUGAACGCUGGCGGCAUGCUUUACACAUGCAAGUCGAACGGCAGCGCGGGCUUCGGCUUGGCGGCGAGUGGCGAACGGGUGAGUAAUACAUCGGAACGUGCCCAGCUGGGGGGGAUAGCUCGGCGAAAGACGGAUUAAUACUGCAUACGAGCUGAGGGUGAAAGCGGGGGAGCUUCGGACCUUGCGCUAUUGGAGCGGUCGAUGGGAGAUUAGCUAGUUGGUGGGGUAAAGGCCUACCAAGGCGACGAUCUGUAGCUGGUCUGAGAGGACGACCAGCCACACUGGGACUGAGACACGGCCCAGACUCCUACGGGAGGCAGCAGUGGGGAAUUUUGGACAAUGGGCGAAAGCCUGAUCCAGCAAUGCCGCGUGUGUGAUGAAGGCCUUCGGGUUGUAAAGCACUUUUGGCGGGAACGAAAAGGACUGGGCCAAUACCACGGUUCGAUGACGGUACCCGCAGAAUAAGCACCGGCUAACUACGUG
Molecule: ribosomal RNA, 484 nt
Filed under: uncultured bacterium
Lineage: Bacteria
Description: partial 16S ribosomal RNA
Rfam family: Bacterial small subunit ribosomal RNA
Source: RNAcentral